Molecule: long non-coding RNA, 296 nt
Filed under: Felis catus (domestic cat)
Lineage: Eukaryota; Metazoa; Chordata; Mammalia; Carnivora; Felidae
Description: lncRNA (ENSFCAG00000041750.2)
Source: RNAcentral
AUUGAAAUUUGUCUUAGUGAGACAACAUCCUAUUAAGAAUACUCUAAUUCCAUAUGAACUGUUGGCCUACAGGUGAAGUAGAGGUAGGACAGAAUUACCACUCACUUUGUUUUUCUUUCAUUCAGAUGUAUUUGGAUCAAGGAGAAGUUCAUGAGAAUGGAAAAGCUACUUCAUUCUUCCCACUGAGACACUUUACAGAAAGGAGAAUGUCAUCUCCUCAUCUCACAGACACAUUUGUAUGAAGGCUUUGCUUUUCACCAACAAUGCAAAAUUGCACCUCAUCGUCACUACCACUG